This 57-nucleotide transfer RNA is filed under the name Fuscocephaloziopsis crassifolia. RNAcentral's name for it is "partial tRNA-Leu". It matches the Rfam family "tRNA", at positions 27 to 71 of the family's 71-position model. From Rfam's summary of the family: Transfer RNA (tRNA) molecules are approximately 80 nucleotides in length. Their secondary structure includes four short double-helical elements and three loops (D, anti-codon, and T loops). Further hydrogen bonds mediate the characteristic L-shaped molecular structure. tRNAs have two regions of fundamental functional importance: the anti-codon, which is responsible for specific mRNA codon recognition, and the 3' end, to which the tRNAs corresponding amino acid is attached (by aminoacyl-tRNA synthetases). tRNAs cope with the degeneracy of the genetic code in two manners: having more than one tRNA (with a specific anti-codon) for a particular amino acid; and 'wobble' base-pairing, i.e. permitting non-standard base-pairing at the 3rd anti-codon position. Lineage: Eukaryota; Viridiplantae; Streptophyta; Jungermanniopsida; Jungermanniales; Cephaloziaceae. RNAcentral also lists the same sequence under 8 other names. The record is from RNAcentral.
CGGACUUAAAAUCCGUUGGCUUUUUAGACCGUGAGGGUUCAAGUCCCUCUACCCCCA